AUCCGAGCACUGGUUAUGUGACCAAGUGCAAGGUGGAGCAGAGGAGCCUAAGAGAGAGGAUUCCCCUGGGGCAUUCUUUUUAAUACAGGAAGUUACUUACUCAUAUUGGGAGUGGUGUUCCCUCUGCUUUUUAAAACUAUAAAGACAGAGCUCUUCCAUCAGCUCUAGACUGAAGUUACCCAGCAUCAAAUGGAACACAAUGGCCCACAAGACUAGGCUGACACACACCAAACGAAUGGUUAUCCGGCUACAAGGCAAAGUGGGUGAUGGACCAAAUAGAGGGCUCUUUUGAAGAUUCUGGAUCUGUCUCGCCCCUCCUUCCUUCACCAGAGAAAUCCAAGGUGAUGAUAAGACGAUGUGGUCGACUAUAAAAACUGUACCCCAGCUGUUCGAGGCUGCACUCUGACCAAGAUCAAGAGUGUCAGUCCUGAUCCGUCAGCCUUGCCACUCGUUGCAAUAAACUUUGCUGUGACAGUCA
Long non-coding RNA from Felis catus (domestic cat), 478 nucleotides. RefSeq lists it as uncharacterized. The transcript is spliced from 3 exons. The record is from RefSeq and is a predicted model, not a curated record. NCBI's taxonomy places the organism in Eukaryota, Metazoa, Chordata, Mammalia, Carnivora, Felidae.